GGUAGUUGGCUACUCAUUAAUGAAAAUUAAUUAUUUAAUUUAGCAGUCGUUAGCCUGUGAUUGACAGACUACUUUUGUCGUUUGCCGGAUUAAAUUAAUUCUUUAAUGGAUUUUUUUAAUAUUGGGAGACAAAAACACGGAAGUUGGCUCACAAAAAAAAAAUUCAACGAUUUAAGUUCGACAAUAGCUCAAUCGAUAGGAAAUCGUUUGCCGGUGAUUGACAGGUGAUUGCCAGACUCCAACAAACGAAUCCUACACCCAAAAAUUGAAAAAAACUAUUUGGGGACAUAAAAAUGGCGUUGAGUCCGGAUUACCCCGGAGUGGGGGGAAAUCGCAUCAUGAUAACUACCAUCUUAUUUCUUGUGGGGUGCAGCCAGGUGGAUUUACUUUUUCGAGCACUACCAAAGCAUUUGCCGGAAUUAAUUCAUUAACGUAUGUGAAAUUUGCAUGGAUACAAAACCAUUCUGUGGAUUGAAUUGUUACUGACGGCGUUCUCCUGCCAGUGGAAUGUUCUGUGAUCUAAAGUUUAAAUGUUGUGCCUGGAAAUGAGUAUGCCACAAGGUCAGUGGAAAAAGCGAACGAGCUACGACAAAAUAACCUGCAAGUACGUGGCAUCGAGAAAUUUCCAUGUUUCAAGCAGGGGAAUUGGUAGCUGGAAUCGAGAUGGGGGAUGAUCGAAUUAUCCACGUUCUCCAAACCUCCAGUUUUGAUUGUAUUCUAAAUGCAUUGUUCUGUAUCGCAACGAAUGACGCUAAUUACGCGGCGUUCAUUAAGAAUACACAUAACGUCCCUAUGGGGAACUUGCAUGAUUUUUUUUAAUUGUUUUUUUUACAUAGUUAAUGGUCCUAAUAAUAGAUUUUUCAUGAAAAAACAUUAAAAAAAUCGUUUACCAAUUAAUUAUUGAUUGUUCAAAAAGUGAAAUUUUCAAAUGCUCCAAAAGUUGUUAUGCCGUCAUCAGGCGGGUCCUAUACUUCCGCAUGUGGCGCCCUCUACCGGAUCAUAGAUUCCUACCGCCGGUAUAUCAAAUUUACCUAACCUUAACUGAUUAAACCUAUUUAAACUGAUUUAACCGUAACUGAUUAAAGCACUCACAAAUGCUCCAAAAUGUCAAAUGACAGUAAAAAAGUGAAAAAACAACUAUACAAAUAUUGUUUUGUACCAUCGUGUGCGAACUCAACUGUGACAAUACCGAAUAAAGUGUUUAUAACAGUUCCUGCGUGCAAAAAUAUUCGAAAAUUGUGGUGUGAAGCCGCAGGUUAUUCUCGCCCAUUACUGGGCAAAAGUGACAUUUGCGAAGAUCAUCUCAAAUUAGAAGACGAUUUGGAAAAUUAUAUGCGGUGGAAGAUGACAAAUUGUCCAAAAAAAUUAAAAGCAGGCGCCUAUCCUAGAUUCUUUCCAUCUCAAACGGUUGCUGAGAGUCAAUCAACAUCCCAACCACACUCAACUACAUCCACACAAUGCUCAUCAGUACAGUCCAUCGGCUCUGAAAUGAAAUGUGCGGAGGAAAAGAAAUUGAAGUGCCCAGAUUCAAAGUAGCGGAACAACCCUGAUGAUUCCAUCAAUUCUCCAGCAAAACAAGAAAGUACUGCUGGCAACAUCCAUGGAACCACCAGUGCAAACCCGAGUCACCGUAUACUCAAGCUAGAUCGCGGUAUACAAACAUCAAUAGUCACUUCCAAUAAAAACAUCUAGGUCAAGCCAACAUGUAAGCAUAAAGGUACAACUUGUCGAUUUCUAGAUAUUCCCAGCGUUCCCAGUACUUCUUUCGUUGGAAACCCACUGCCACCCAGUGUAUCCGAGGCCUUACUGGAUGGAGUUCUGACAAGUUGUAGUGGAAAUAAUUCGAGCCCCCAAAAGUCCGUUUUAAAUUCCUCAGAGAGUAAAAUUGAGAGCAGCGUUUCCAUAAAUUCAGCACUCGAUGUAAUUGGCAGUGAUAUUCUCAAUACUAGUAGCGCACCCUCUACUAGUAAUCGCAGCCUAAAACUGCAUCAUUUAAAAAUGCAUAUUUAGGAGAAUGUCACGAAAUUAAUUAUUGAGGAUGAUCCCCUGUUAAUGAUCGGGAUACCGGAAAGUUCGAUGUAUGUAAUUGAUGAAUUAAUUUUGGUAACAAAUAUUCCUCGUAAAUAUAUAUAUAUAUAUAUAGUACGAUGAAAAAAAUUCGUCAGAAAGUUCCUUAUGCAAUCCUUGCAUAUGAUUUUCGAUUAAGCGAAUCGCAAAUAUCGAGAAUUUUUAAAAAUACUGUGACAAAAAUGGCAGAGAUACUCAAAGAGUUGGUAGUCUGGCCAUCAAAAGAAGAAAUAGUCCUAAAUCUUCCAAUUCAAUUUCAAUUAAAAUAUGGACAAGUUCAAUCGAUAAUUGAUUGUGUCGAAAUCCAAAUAGAGCAUUUAACUCAUGCAGUACACCAGGCUGCAACAUGGUCAGACUAUAAGAAGUUGUAACGAGGCCCUUUUUGUUGGCUCUCCCCUGUCCCCUAAUAAUAACUUUUUGUUAGGUUUAAGUAAAAUAAGCAAAAGGAAUAAACGAGGUUAUAAAACCUGUCAUCGUUGGUUCCCACUCUCGAAACCUUCCUUCCCUUUGCUCCCCCCCCCUCCCUACACCAUCACGCCUGCAGAAACACCAUCGCUGCAGAGAAGAAGAAAACCCCCCAUUAAGACGUCACUCACCACGUGAUCCCGGAAGAGAAAGAAAUCCCGGAACGACGAAUAAUUAGGACGAAGACAUCCGAUAACGAGUGUCCCCGAUUGACCCCGAUUAUCGGUGAUAAUCGGGGAAGAAGAAUAACGAGGAUGAGGAAGCCAACACUCGCUAUACAGCUGCCCCGUGCGUAAGAGAUUGUAUUGGAAAAUAUCCGGAGAAUAUUCUGAGGUGAUAAUUUGAGGAGAUUGUUGGAGUGAUUUUUGGAGUUUGGAGAGCUUAGUUGUGGAAGAAAAGCCGGGAGAAACGAUCAGGGAGGAACGGUUCUGGUGGAGUCAUUGUCGGAGGAGUUCCCCGUGUCUUCUUGGAAGGAUUAGAGUAGGCGCCAUCCCCGUGAGUACCCUUCAGUACCUUUCCCGCCCCAACAAAUAUCCACGGAACCCCUGUAAUAAUAUUUCCCCCCAACGGUGAGCCUCUAAAUUUAAUAAUUAUUAGUUCCUGUGUGCAGGAAUAUUGCUAGUGCAAUAAUAAUCCCCCUAGUGUUCAGUGAUCUUUCAAUCGUUCCCCUAACUUCUCCCCUCUUUUCAAUUAUUUAACUUUCCCUCUUUCUUUUGUUCUUUUUCUUUAUAUUCUUUUCCUGAUUAUUAUUAUUUACCGGUGUGUCGCAAGCUGGCUGGCCUUACCCCCCACCCUUGAUUAAUUGAUAAGAAAAGGCCUGGAAUUAUACUGUGAGAAUUGUUACAUUUAAACGUCCAACUAUUUAUUAGAAUAUACGGUAUUUCUCUAUCAUAUCCUACCCGAGUAAUUAUUCACCUCCCCCCCAUUAUCAUUUCAGGUCCCUCCCCCAGUAAAUUCUUGAAUAAAAUUAUUGAAUUCGUAAAUUACCCAUUUAUCCCCUCAACAUCGUGUCUUCACCGGGAAUUAAUAUA
Long non-coding RNA from Diachasmimorpha longicaudata, 3563 nucleotides. RefSeq lists it as uncharacterized. The record is from RefSeq and is a predicted model, not a curated record. Lineage: Eukaryota; Metazoa; Arthropoda; Insecta; Hymenoptera; Braconidae. The transcript is spliced from 3 exons.